RNAcentral lists this ribosomal RNA (506 nucleotides) under uncultured bacterium. Its description in RNAcentral is "bacterial SSU rRNA". It matches the Rfam family "Bacterial small subunit ribosomal RNA", at positions 501 to 1009 of the family's 1533-position model. The record is from RNAcentral.
CUACGUGCCAGCAGCCGCGGUAAUACGGAAGGUCCAGGCGUUAUCCGGAUUUAUUGGGUUUAAAGGGAGCGUAGGCGGAUUGUUAAGUCAGCGGUUAAAGGGUGUGGCUCAACCACACAUUGCCGUUGAAACUGGCGAUCUUGAGUGCAGACAGGGAUGCCGGAAUUCGCGGUGUAGCGGUGAAAUGCUUAGAUAUCACGAAGAACUCCGAUCGCGAAGGCAGGUGUCCGGGCUGCAACUGACGCUGAGGCUCGAAAGUGUGGGUAUCAAACAGGAUUAGAUACCCUGGUAGUCCACACAGUAAACGAUGUAUACUCGCGGUUUGCGAUAGACAGUAAGCCGCCAAGCGAAAGCAUUAAGUAUACCACCUGGGGAGUACGCCGGCAACGGUGAAACUCAAAGGAAUUGACGGGGGCCCGCACAAGCGGAGGAACAUGUGGUUUAAUUCGAUGAUACGCGAGGAACCUUACCCGGGCUUGAACUAACGGUGACGAAUCUAGAGAUAG